Molecule: long non-coding RNA, 3046 nt
Organism: Pezoporus occidentalis (night parrot)
Lineage: Eukaryota; Metazoa; Chordata; Aves; Psittaciformes; Psittacidae
Exons: 2
Source: RefSeq, a predicted model, not a curated record
AAAGGCUGAAGGAAGAAUAUUUCAGUGUUUACUUAUUGUGCAAUUUAGAUAAAACCAGAGGAGGCCAUAAGAAAUACCAGAGAGAUCUUCCCAGAGAAGAGAUGAGCCGAACCAUGUAGGUAAAAAUUCAUGAUAUUACAUUCAAAAUAAUCUAUUGGAAGAAAUAAUACGAGUCGGUCAUGUUCCUUCUGGGCUUCUAAACCAGUGUAAGAAAAAAAGCUGUAUCGGAUAGUUGGUAGUAAAUAAUUUAAAACCACCAUUCUAUUUAUUACAGAAUCAACAUUGAGAAUAUGGUAAUUUUUGUCUAGAACUCUUAACAUUAAACCAGUCAAACAAAAUAAUGAUACAUCUUCUGUUGGAAUACAACGUUGAGUCCUUCACUGUAUCUCCAGAGAAUAAGAGUUCAGAGAUGCAUAAGGAAAAUAUUAGGAACAAGAAAAACAUACUCUAGGAAUAGGAUUAAGGACCAAGGGAAAUGGAAUAAAAUAUUUGGUGGAGGUAAUAUUUAUGGCAUGCAAAAUAUCCCUGUUUCAGAGAAGAUAAAUCAGGAUCUUCAUAAACUCUAGGACACACUUCAAGAACUGGAGUAGUUGAACAAUUUCAAAUUAAAAAUUAUGUUUUUCCCCAUCACAAAAUACAGCCAUCCCAGCCUUACUUUUUCCUCAGAAACCACUAAAGCAAGGAUUUCAGCAGUUUCCAGAAGAACUGACACUUCUAUAGGUAAGACUCCUGAAAGAUCAUUAGUCUGAUCCAGCACAGCCUUGUUGCUAGCUUUAAGACAAUCCUUAGCUUUUCCCAAGUGUUUCCUUCUACUGUUUGAUUUCAUUUAGAGCUGCGAAGUAUUUUUUAUGUCUGUGUAUUUGGAAUAUCUGCUUUCCCCAAAAUAGCAAUAAUGCAGUGAGAGUAGUACCAAUAUUUGCACUUACAGGAAAGAUUUUAGUGCUGUUAGCAUUGAACCAUUUGGCUGACAGUGCCUACUUUGUGCAGCAUAUGUGAUUUGUCAAUCAUCCAUGAAAUACACAUCACUGAGAUUCUGAUCUCCAUUUAUUGUUCAGUCUUCUGAGAAAAUACUGCGUUGCUGAUCCAGAUUUCUCAAUAUUUUGUAUUCCUCUAUAGCUUCUACUUGGUGCCCUGAAAGGAUUAUUUUGUAUUUUUCAGUUUCCCCAGAGAAACUGUAGAAGAAUUUUGGUGUGCCAGUUCUGAACAGACCAAAUACCACUCAAACUUUCAAGAGUUGAGCAAAAUGCAGUGAAACAACUUAACUUUCACUGCUGUUUUAGCACAAUCUUCCAUUAGCAUUCCCCUUAGGUAUCUGCAUCUCAUUCGCAUGGGUCUCCAUUCAGAAAAAGCUGCCUUUGCCAUUUGAAGAGACAAAAUACCAAGGGCAACCUUGUGCUGACAAACGCAAUUAGCCCAAGGUCAGUUAAGGAUAGGGAAGCAUCAGAAAGUAACAACUGAAAUUAUACAAAGCUAAGGGAAGGCGGAGCUGUGACUAUUCAAGUGACUUAUUUUUAAUCAUUCAUUGGGGUUUGUUUCUGAUGCACCUGCCUUCUUUAAGAACUUCCCAAUUUAUUUUCUUAAUGUACCUUGAACUCCCCAGCUGUUACAUGGACAUACCACUCUCAGAACGUAUCACUCCUAGGGAUCACUCCAAACCUUGUGCUCAAGUGUGAAGCAGCCAGUCGCUAAAUGUCACUGAUGAUGCAAGUUUCUUCAUGGCUGAAAUACAGCACCUGGCACUUCCAAGUGCCACUUCGCAACUAAAAUACUUACAUACUUCCUAAAGGUGGUCUGCAGGAUCACCAGCUACCCAUGAAGGCUCCAGUUACAUACCCCUGAAUGUGCAACCAUUCCCUUUUUGAAAAAGGUCUAGAACUUAAACACAGCGUUUUAAAAUUUCUCUGAACACUUGCACAUAGAGGAAAAAGACAGGAAAGCAUUGCAUUUACAAAGCACUUCCGAAAAAACAGAAACGUUACAUGGAUCAGCAGGACAGUCUGUUUCAUUAAACUUCACCUAAUUUGUUUUUAUGUUGUUAAAUGCUUCUGACAGAACUCUGAAUCUCCAAAUCUGGUCAAACUAACAGAAGAAUUUUAUGCCGAAAUGACUAAGUUAGGACACUGUGUGAUUAGUUUAAGGACUCCACUUCUGUCCACCUUUUAGGCAUUCAGUAGAAGGAGCUCUUCUAAAAGAAGUGUGUCUAGAAACAUGUCAGUGCCUUGUGAUGCUCAUGCCAAAGUUAAGUUAAAAUGGUAAUUUCAAGAACUCCAACUAUCUAGAUAGGAUUAGGCCACUAAUCUCUCAGCUAUCCACACAAAAUGAUGAGAGUACACAAAACCCUUCCUCAUAGGAACGAUAAACCCAUAAAUUGGUAAAUGCUUAGAAGUACUGCUUUGAUGAUUUUGUGAAACAGCUCAGACGUUUCAACUUCCUGCGACCCAGAGUGUCUAAACUAACUGGCUUUCAACAGUCCAUCAGAAAGCAAAUCAGUACUGCACAGGACUACCAAACACAUACCACUGAGCAGCAACAUGGACUUUCCCACAUAGGCUACUAUCCUCCAUUAAGCUAAAGUUUUGUUACAGCCCUCUCUCUGCCUUCCAUCACCAAAUACAGAGAAUUAGUUUAAAUUGCCUUCCAAAACUAACAAAUUCAUGAUGCAGACAAGAGCCUCCCUUUAUUUGGCUGUAGUAAGCCUACCACAAGACCAGAAGUGGGGUUUAUCUCAGUGCAUGUCUUAACUACUAUUCUAGUCAGCAUAUACAGUUUUAGUAAUCGAUCUUCAAUUUUUAAGUAUAGAGAGGCUUGGCUUCUCUUCUGUUUUAAUUAAAAAGGCAACUGGGAGAUUUUUUCCAAAGAAUAAAUGGAACACUAGGUCAGGCAACAGUCAUUUAUUUAUUGACUUUAACAAGCAAAAGGUAUCCUCAGACAUGACGGCCAACACUUGAGCAAUACAGAUCAAUGCUAUUGAGGAACAUCUUUUCUCUCACCCCUCCCAUCCCAGGAGUAACAAUAGAAAUACCAGGGCCCCUAGAGAAGAGAGAAG